UGGGGAAUAUUGCACAAUGGGCGAAAGCCUGAUGCAGCAACGCCGCGUGAGUGAUGAAGGUCUUCGGAUUGUAAAGCUCUGUCUUUUGGGACGAUAAUGACGGUACCAAAGGAGGAAGCCACGGCUAACUACGUGCCAGCAGCCGCGGUAAUACGUAGGUGGCGAGCGUUGUCCGGAUUUACUGGGCGUAAAGGGUGCGUAGGCGGAUGUUUAAGUGAGAUGUGAAAUACCCGGGCUUAACUUGGGUGCUGCAUUUCAAACUGGAUAUCUAGAGUGCAGGAGAGGAGAAUGGAAUUCCUAGUAUAGCGGUGAAAUGCGUAGAGAUUAGGAAGAACACCAGUGGCGAAGGCGAUUCUCUGGACUGUAACUGACGCUGAGGCACGAAAGCGUGGGUAGCAAACAGGAUUAGAUACCCUGGUAGUCCACGCCGUAAACGAUGAGUACUAGGUGUAGGAGGUAUCGACCCCUUCUGUGCCGCAGUAAACACAUUAAGUACUC
RNAcentral lists this ribosomal RNA (498 nucleotides) under uncultured bacterium. Its description in RNAcentral is "partial 16S ribosomal RNA". It matches the Rfam family "Bacterial small subunit ribosomal RNA", at positions 355 to 869 of the family's 1533-position model. The record is from RNAcentral.